AAAUUAAUAACAGGGAGCUAGUAAACUGGCUGAGAGGAAGUUGUGAACUUCGACCUAUAACCUGAUUUGGAUAAUGCCAACGUAGGAUAAUAAUUAUGAUGUAU
Molecule: non-coding RNA, 104 nt
Organism: Megamonas hypermegale ART12/1
Lineage: Bacteria; Bacillati; Bacillota; Negativicutes; Selenomonadales; Selenomonadaceae
Source: Rfam